ACGAACGCUGGCGGCGUGCUUAACACAUGCAAGUCGAACGGAAAGGCCCUGCUUUUGUGGGGUGCUCGAGUGGCGAACGGGUGAGUAACACGUGAGUAACCUGCCCUUGACUUUGGGAUAACUUCAGGAAACUGGGGCUAAUACCGGAUAGGAGCUCCUGCUGCAUGGUGGGGGUUGGAAAGUUUCGGCGGUUGGGGAUGGACUCGCGGCUUAUCAGCUUGUUGGUGGGGUAGUGGCUUACCAAGGCUUUGACGGGUAGCCGGCCUGAGAGGGUGACCGGCCACAUUGGGACUGAGAUACGGCCCAGACUCCUACGGGAGGCAGCAGUGGGGAAUAUUACACAAUGGGCGGAAGCCUGAUGCAGCAACGCCGCGUGCGGGAUGACGGCCUUCGGGUUGUAAACCGCUUUCGCCUGUGACAAAGCGUGAGUGACGGUAAUGGGUAAAGAAGCACCGGCUAACUACGUG
Molecule: ribosomal RNA, 467 nt
Filed under: uncultured bacterium
Lineage: Bacteria
Description: partial 16S ribosomal RNA
Rfam family: Bacterial small subunit ribosomal RNA
Source: RNAcentral